Equus caballus (horse) is the source of this 1526-nucleotide non-coding RNA. The record is from RefSeq and is a predicted model, not a curated record. Lineage: Eukaryota; Metazoa; Chordata; Mammalia; Perissodactyla; Equidae.
AACAAGCAUCACAGUUCAAACAGUGAUAUCCUGCCAGAUCUCAAUAGCCUUCUGUCCCAGCCAGGAGCCCUGCAGAAUUCCCGUGCCCUCUUCCUCAUUCUGUCUCAGUCUAGGUCUCCAUGUGAGCUGAUGCUGGAACGUGUCGACUUUGCAAAUUUACAGUCAAGUCACCACAGCCAUGAAUUUGCAGUGUCUUCCUUCACUCCUCUUUUUCAGGGAAGCAGCCUUCACUGAGCAGAAGUUCUGUGUCAAGCCCUGGAUCAAGUGCUGAGAACAGAGAUCCGUCAUGCAUGGUUCCUGUUCUCAAGGAGCUCAGAGUCUGUCGGGAAACACAUGUUGCCGCACAGGGUGAUUCACGCUAAACUCGAGGUAAGCAAGGGUGCCAAGGGAGCACGGAGGAGGCCCCUAAGCCAACCUGGUGAUAGGUGCAGUGCAUCAGUCUGCACAGGAAACAGAUAGCCUCUCCUUUCGACAUCCACUGCUGCCACCGUGGCUCAGGCCUGCACCGCUUCACGCUUGGACAUCUGCAGUAGCUUGACGUUCACAACUCCACUAUUGCCCCCUCCAGCCCGGCCUCCACACUGUCUGUGAGCAGCAUUCAGAUUUCUAAAGAAAAGAGAACAUCCUUGGCCUGUGUGAAGAACAACCUGGGAGCUUCAGAGAUUUAAUGUUGCCAGAAGCAGCCCUGACCUCAAUGAUGGAUGGGGAGUUGGUGGAUGCCCCAGCUUCCUCACCUCUCUAUUGGGCUACCCUGAAUGUGUCCUAUACUGUCUCCCAGAGUUCUUCAGCAUAACUGAGCUUCGGGAGGCUACCAUAGUAACUAGCUUGAUUACGUAUAUGUUUUUGGCUUCCUCCACUCACCUGUCUCACUACCUUACUCCCACCCAGGUUUCCUGACAUCACAUCCUAAAUAAGUUACUUGCAUUCCGACACAAACCAAGACACAUGCUAAUUUUACUAUACCACACUGCUUAGCCAGAAGACCCCGCUAAAAUGUUUUUGUUGCCUGUAAAGAAUAACAUAUAAAUUAUUAGUAUCCUCUAAAAUACUGGCACAGAAUUAUCCAGCUAUCAUCAAUAAAAAAAAAAGAAGAAGAAAAGGACCUUAGAGACUGGAACACAGAAUGGGCUCUGCUAUAAACCAGCUGUGUGACCCUGGGCAAAACACUUGACCUCUCAAACAAAGAGUCUUUGUUCCCUUUCUGGGAAAUAGAGGCAACAUUACUCACUUGACUGGGUUUUUGUGAAGAGGAAAUAAGAUACGGUAUUAAAAAUGUCCCACCAAAUCUCCUAAAUGGUUUUCUCUCCGAGUCUAAAAGUCUUUUUCUCAGCCUUCAUUCUCUUUGGCUUCAGUUAAUUUAUUUUAUUAUAUCUCUAUAUGCUGUUGUUAGUCCUAAUACUGUUUUGUUCAUUAUCUUUUUCAUCUUCGUAUAGCUUGUAUUCUCACUUAUAUUGCUAACUUCAAAGGGCAGGGACUUUAUCUUAUGCUUGUUUAUAAUUAAAUGAAGUCAUAUAUUUGAAAAUGUU